Molecule: ribosomal RNA, 460 nt
Filed under: uncultured bacterium
Lineage: Bacteria
Description: partial 16S ribosomal RNA
Rfam family: Bacterial small subunit ribosomal RNA
Source: RNAcentral
CCUACGGGUGGCAGCAGUGAGGAAUAUUGGUCAAUGGACGAGAGUCUGAACCAGCCAAGUAGCGUGAAGGAUGACUGCCCUAUGGGUUGUAAACUUCUUUUAUAUGGGAAUAAAAUGUUCCACGUGUGGGAUUUUGUAUGUACCAUAUGAAUAAGGAUCGGCUAACUCCGGGCCAGCAGCCGCGGUAAUACGGAGGAUCCGAGCGUUAUCCGGAUUUAUUGGGUUUAAAGGGAGCGUAGGUGGAUUUGUAAGUCAGUUGUGAAAGUUUGCGGCUCAACCGUAAAAUUGCAGUUGAAACUGGCAGUCGUGAGUACAGUAGAGGUGGGCGGAAUUCGUGGUGUAGCGGUGAAAUGCUUAGAUAUCACGAAGAACUCCGAUUGCGAAGGCAGCUCACUGGACUGCAACUGACACUGAGGCUCGAAAGUGUGGGUAUCAAACAGGAUUAGAUACCCCGGUAGUC